CUAACUUAUUAAGUGUGAUAUCUAUUAGUUUUACUUGAAUUAACUCUUUCUCCAUAAGUUUUGUUAAAAUUAUGAAAAUCACUUUUCUCAUGAUAAGUUUACAAAGUUUAUAGUUAAUUGGAGUGUAAAAUGAAAUUUUACAAAUAGGGGUUUUUUGAGAAUAUCUUUGUUAUAUUUACGAUGGCAUUAGUAAUAUUCUAAACCUUAAAAGGGUAUUGAUGAAAUUAUAGUUAGUAGUAGGGCGUUUCAAAAAUUAUCUGUGUUUUUUAAAAUACCUAUAUGGAGCGAGAUUCAAAGUACUUGGUAAUAUUGCUUAAUAAUAAAGACAGAAACACUACAACAGAAUUAGGUUAUAGGGACACAUGUUUGGGACACAUGUUUGGGACACUUUUGAGUAAGUGUCCCAUUUAUCCUAAAGCUUAAAAAAACAUCUAGUAAUGCCUAAAUAUAAAGCCCAAUCCAACCAAAAAUAAAAGAUUACUCUACUCAACCCACCACAUCCAGUCCAUUUGGCCCGAUUACAAAUAGAAAAGAAAAAAGAAAGAAAAAUCAAUUACCAUCUUUUCUUCUCUCUUCACUCAAUCCACUAAAAUUCUAGACGAAGAGCCUUUCCUGUCGUCCUCCUCCGCCACCACAGUCAACGGGAUAGAGUUUCGGCGGUUGCUACAUGCUUAAAUAAGUGUUCGUAAAUUAGCAGCACUCUUUUAGGUUAUAGCGACACUCUUUAACUGUCACUAUAUACCUAGCGACCCCACAUAUAGCAACACUUUUUAAAAGUGUCGGUAAUUUUAGCUAGUAGCACUUUUUUGACAUGUACCUACAUUUAAAAGUGUCGCUAUAGACCGUUUUUGUUGUAGUGAAACGAGCUACUCUAAAUAGUGGUGGUUUUACUUAAACUUCUGAUUCAGUUUAUCUAAUUGUUUAACAUCUUACAGGCCUUUAAUUUUAAAUUUUUAAGUUUUGAUUAGACAAAGAAUUUGUUGAAAAGGAAAAAAACAAGCAUUGGUGGUCAUGUUAACAUAAUUCAACACAUUUUUUAGUUCUUCAAAAAGAUUAAAAGGCUUUCAAAAUCUCCUUUACCUUUUUUUGUUUUUUUUUUUUCUUACACUUCUAGUUAAAGCUAUAGAAAGUGUAAACAUGGUAUAUAUAUAUGUAGACCUUUAAAAAAUUAACUUCAAAAGUUUAAAUUCUUUUAUAUGACCAUGGAAAAAUAAAUUGUUACACAUAUACAUUGCAAAAUCUCUAUCUAGUUUCUCCUAUGUGGUUUGUAACUCUUAAGCUCUAACAACAAUGGUCCUAUGUGAAAAUAUAUUUUUAUACAAAAGCACCUAACCACAAUUAAUUGAGUCUAAAGGACCAUGAUUAGAAUAUGCUACACUAUAUUUUAUACAAUACUUUUGACUAUAAGUCAUCUUUAUUUAAAAACUUUGCACAAAAAAAAAGAAUUUCUAUUGCAAAUGAUAUAGUGACAUAAGAUUAUCUCAAAAGAAAAAAUUUUAAUUUAGAGCUUUCAAUUCGUUUAAUACAAAGAAUAGCUACUGGAGCGAAUUUUACCAUAACACUUCUACUAAGAAUAUUACUCGAGUGGCCUUAUAUGAUAUAGCAUUACACUUUACAGCAGAACCAAAUGAGCCCUAAUUCAACAAUAGAGGUGAAUAAAUAAGGGUCAAAUGGUCAACAUAAACAUAUUUUUCAAGCAAGGACAAUUGCAAAGCACUAUGGUUUGGAACAAAAAUUUUUUGAAUAAUUUGGACCCUUGUUGGAAGGAACAAAAGAGAAGGAUAUGAAAGAGACCCACUACCAACUUGAUACUAUUGGUUUUGGAAGGAUCAUAAAAUAUAAAGAGGACCCAUACACACCAUACACACACAAAGAAAAGAGUGGGGCUCAAAAGAAUGGUUUUGAGUGGGAAUCUACUAAUUAUCAAUGCAAUGGGGUAUUGAUUGAGAUAGGAAAGCAAUUUCCAAGCAACCUCUUUCAAUUCAAAAGCAUCUUCUUCUUUGGUCUCUAUAGCACUCUCCCUUAUCUUCCAAACAUGCACAUUGAGAAGCUUUGAACAAAUUAAUGUUGUACAAAUUGUGACCUUGGGUGGAGGAUUCUCAUUGGCCUUUUCUUUUCUUGAAUAUUGUAAUGUUGUACUAUUCAUUUCCAUUUUAUACAAACAAAAAAAAAAAAAAAUUAUGAUUAACUAAUAAUGGAUGAUUACUAAGUAGGGACAAAAGGAUUAAGUGGAAUAGCAUGGAGGUUUCAUUAGGUAUAAGGUCAUAUGUUUUGAUAAAUUGUAUAAGGUCUGCGGUAGCAAUAAAAUACUGUAAGUACGAGAAAAAAGUCCAACUUAGAAUCAAUGAGCACGAGCCUAUCCGUGUUUUACAUCCCUGCUCUUAAUAUAUAUUUCUGAGUCUGUUUCCCACUAGAUCGAUCUUUUGGAUAAUAUGAUAUAUAGUAGAGUUAGUUUAAAAUUCCUUUGUUCUGUGAACACAUAAUUAAAGCACUGUUAGACUUGCAAAACUCUAAAAUCGGUCGAUCUCUCCUCCGUCUGUCGCAUGUGUGUAUGUAAAUAGUACGUGGGUAACGAUUUUUUCUUGACCAGUUAUUUUUCAUUUUUUUUUUCAUAUUGUUGGAAAGAAAAAUUGUAAGAAUUAGCAUUAGAUAAAAACGGCAAAACUACAUCAAAGUUGGGCUCAGAGAACCAUCUAAAAGUAAAAGAAUAAUAAUUCAUAGAAACCUUUGCUAAGUUAUGAACAAUACAGUUUCCCCUGUAACUAGUAUAAACAUACAAGGAAUUGAUUAAUUUUGGCUAUGGGCUUUUAUGUUGGGAUAAAACAUGUGGGUUUGUUGUGUUGGGCCAUGAUAUAUAUCAAGGGUAAUGUUUUUUCUUAUUCUUUUAUGGUUUUCUUUUUUUUUCCCUUUUUUUAAAAAAGUGGAAUUCAUGUAAAUUUAAAUAUUUUUGGAGUUACCAAUUUAUCACAUGUAAAAAAAAAAAAAAAAAAGGUCUUUGGUUUAUUAUUAUUAUUACUUUACGGACGAAACAAUUUGGUAAGCACCAGAAUACCGCAAUGAAUACAAAAAAAAAAAUUCAAUACGAAAAAAAAAAAGAAGAAAUACAAAGAAAAAGAAAAGAUAUUGAUGUGUCCAUAUGUUAUAGACAGGUUUUUUUUUUUUUCUUUUUCCUUAAAAAAAAUUUGUAAACUUCACCUAUGCAUGAUAUGGUCCAAAUGUCUAAUCUGUGAUUGUUACAACUUUUAUUAUUUAAAAGAAUUAAUUUGAUUAAUCCAUACCUGUGCUUAUAAUUUUAUGAUGUUACUGACCUCUUUCUAACUGAUGAAAAUGGAUUGUUAAUUUAAAUCCAAUUAUAUAAUUGACUGGAAAUCCAAUUAUAUAAAAUUUAAAUAUUUAUUAUUUUAUAAUUAUUUUUAUAAAUUUUAAAUUUUUUAAUCAAGAUACUAAUUUAAAUAGAAAUAAUUUAUUAUUUAUACUUUAAAUUUUAUAUAUUUUUUAAAAAAAUUUAAAACUUUACCGACACUGCACGUCCCGUGCCUUCCGGGCCUAAGGGCCAUGCUGGACCAGAGGCUUGGUAGCUCCAGCCCGGCACGGCCCGGUUCUCGGAUUUGGAACCGGGCUUGGCCUGGCUAAUGUCAGUCGUGUCUGCUCAGCACGGCCCACAUUACACCCCUACUCCAGUCCCAACCCACCAGAAUGAAGCGAUAAGUGGGGGAAAAAUUAUAAGAUAAAAACUGACCGGUCUCAAAUCCGUUCUGACUUGCCAAGAAAACUAGCCAGGACCCAGGAUCCAUUCUGACCGGCCAAAAACUAACUACCCUGAAGUUUUGGAAAUAACUAAAAAUUGGGACAACAAAAAAUGGUACAUUAAUUUUAUAUUUGAUAAAUGGUUUAAUUAUAUAUGAUGGAUUAAUGUAGAAUUUAACUUAAGUAACUUUAGUUUGAAAAGUUCCAUUUAAUUUUUACAUCAACAACAUCUUGGACUAUGCUCAACCCAAAAAGAGGGCAUGGGCUGGUGAAGGCCUAUACUUGAGGGGGUUUCACACAUUUUUCAAAUUUUUAUAUUCCUAAUUAAAGAUUCUAGCAUGGGUAAGUGCAAUAUAAUUAAGAAGAUUACAUCAUCAUACUUAAUUUUUUUUUUAUAAAAAAAAUUGUUUUUUGUUCACUAAACAUGUGGGAGAAAGCAAGUAUGUUCUAUAAUUUUGCGACCUUUUUUCCCGUCAUUCAGAUUAAUCUAAAAUUCAUCUAUUGUUAAUUAAAGACAAGGACCGAAAUUAAGAAUAUUCUGGACUCGAAUUCAGAACCUUCUACUACUUUAAUUUUAUGUAAAAUAAUUAAUCAUACCUAAAACUUAAGUUAUUUAUUAGAAAUAAUAUUUUAAUAUUGGAAAAAUCACAAUUAGCCUUCUAUUGUUUAGCACAUAAUUAUUGCUUCACCACCUUGGGAUACGAAAAGUGUUACUUCGCUGCCACACAUUUUAUUUUUAUUUCAUCAUAAAAACUUUGUCAUUAAAAUUGCAGCAAAAUGAUACAAUUUACAAACCAAAUGAUAGGAAACUAAAAUUAUAAACUAUUAAUGUGAUAUAUUUUACCACAUAUGGUUACAUUAUUUUACUAUCCAAAUUAACAACAGAUCGUUACACUAAAAGUGACAUUUUUUGAACUGCGAUGUGACAAAGUUAAAUAUGCUAAACAACAUGGAGGCUAAGGAUUUUUUUUUUCCCUCUUGAAUAUUUUAUGUCCAACAAGGUUUAUAUAUGCAUAACAACCAAGAUUUGAUAGGUCAAUUAUGAAAAAAAAAAAAACAUUUGUCAAAGGCCACAAAAUUGAAAAACAAAAUGUGGUUUAACCUAGAGAGUUGACUUUGUUGUUGACAAGGUGAGUUGACCCCAACCACUCCAACCAAGUUGUGAUAGAGAAGUUUCAAUUUUCAACUGAAAAUGUAUUAAUUGAAAACCUAAUCUCUUAGACUUGUUCUUGAAAUUUUCAAUUGGUCUCCUCUAAUUUAUUGCUUUAUAUAAAUAUAAAUUCUUCUUUCAAAAGUUGGCUCCAUUUCCACAAAUAUAAAAACAAAUUGCUAAGUAUACUUAAAUUAAUUCAUUUAUUGAGUAUUGCAAAUCUUAUGUCAUGUUACUCGGGAUCUAUUUGACUUUGCUGUAGAGUGUAGUAUUCCCAGGUUAUUUCGAUAUAAUUAUUAUAUUACAGAAAAGACGAUAAAUUUUUUUAUAUAUGAAAUAUUGUACUGGUGAACAAAAUAACUGGGAUCAAACAAAAUCUUAGUAUAUAAUUGGCCUGGUUUAUGAGGAGGUAGCUUCUGCACUUCAAGAAGUAGUAGCUGAGCUGUUUGCCAAACAAAAAAUUAAGAAACUUUAUUAAAAGAUUUUUCAUUUCUCUCCUAAUUUAUGUAGCACAAGAUAAAUUUGUGAGGUUAAAAAGAAAAGGGAAAAAAAAUAUAUUAGUGGCUACCUAAGUAGAUUGGUGGAGCUUGGCCUAAAUUUGUUUGGUCUAAUUUGAGCCUACAAUUUGGUUUGUAUCUCUUAUACCAUUUUAUUCUAAUAAUAAAGGUCCACUAGGGCUCUACCAAACAACCUUAUAUAUAUAAUAAUAUCCUUAUAAAAAAAGGUAAAAAUAAAAACAAAUAAAUAUUAAAUAAUAAUAAUAAUAAUAAUAAUAAUAAUAAUAAUAAUAAUAAAUAAAAAAUUGUGCCCAAGGAUAUUAAUAUGCUUACUCAAUGGUUUAAUUGUUAGCAUACAAUAAUUGUGAUAUGCCUAACUCAAUUAUGUUAGCUUAGACUUAUUGUAAUAAAAUUUGUUCUAAGACAUGUUUAAAGUGUAAUUAAUCACGAGAUUUGCGCUCGACGUCGAAGUAAAAUUUUCGACGAAAAUUGAUACAUCUCUUCUUAUAGUUCUUCGAAAAGGAUCUAACUGCGAAUUUGGUUAGUUUUUUUGAAUUUGGUAAUUUUGCGAAAUCUAUUAGUAGGAUUUUGGCCAAAAAUCCACCCAAAAUUUGGGUACUAUAGCUUGAAAGGGUAAGGGAAAAUUCUAUAACCACUUAGUUAUUCAAAACACUAAAGUUAGAAGAUAAUAGAAAUUAGCACAAAGAUACUUCUAAAUCUCAAUUAAUAUAUAGAGUAGGGCUACUAUACUCUUAUGAGUAUAGAGCUCUUUGUACUCAUAAGUUGUUUUCGAUGUUAGGGUUUUCAAAUCGAUGAUCCACACCGCUAAACAGGAUCUAGAGUAUUUGAAACUUCUAGAAAAUAAAUUUCGUAAUUUUUUGAAAUCAUUAUAAAGUCCAUCAAGCAGGUAUAAAAUGAACGGUUAAAAUCAAACUACAUCCUAAAAAUGGAUGAUCGGAUCUUUCAAUUUAAGAUCGGAGUUAUUGAUCUUUAUUUAGGUAGUGAAUAGAAUUUUUGAUCAAAAAUUCAACUUAUUCCGAUUCUUUUUUACCGUUAAACUAGCAAAUAUCUCAUACCGGCCGUUAAAAAUUAUAAUUAUUUUAGCUUUUGAUCAUAAGAUAAAUGAUAUCAAAAAAUUAUAAAAUUUGAUUUCUAAAUAUUUUAAACGCUCUAGAUAAUGUUUAAUGGUAUGGAUCGUCGAUUUGAAAACUCUAUCAUCGAAAAAAACUUAUGAGUAUGAAGGCGAUUGUACUCAUAAGAGUAUAGUAGCCGGACUCUAAUAUAUAUAUAUAUAUGAGUAGGGCUAUUGUGCUAUUAGGAGCACAGCAGCCCUUAUGCUCCUAAGCUUUGUUACUUAUUCCAAGUAUACAUGCAUGAUUCAUUUGGGAGUGGUUUUUCACUACUCUUUUGACAUUGUAAAAUAUUGUAGAAUUUGAUCACUCACCUUGCUUGGUAAACUACUUGUAUUUGCCAAGUGUGAUUAACCUAAACCUCUAAUUAUCUUAAUACUAAUGUAAUGAAUCUGAGAACUCGUCGACAAUCACGCGUGCUUUGCCUAAUUCUUUCGUUUAGAGUCGGAUAACAAACCACGUUUCGAAGAUUAUAUAGUUCAAUCAAUUUCCAUGAAAUCAUAAAUCUCCAUCAUUUACCUUCAUAGUUAUUGAGUGGAAAUCCAAUUAGAUCUUAUCUCCAAAGUGAUAGCAACUCAAAUAUAGGCCAAAAUCAAUUGAAAUAACAUAUCUUAAGUGAAAGUGGCUGCUCAUUAUUCGUCGACAUCGAACAAUCUCGUAGAAAUUGACAAGUUGAUCACACUUACCUAGUUGCUUGGUAAACUUAUCUUUGCAAAGUGGCAUUGACCUUAAUUGCAUCUAAUUAUCUUAAUAAUUUAAGGACUCUUCGAUAAACACGCGUUAGUUUCACAUAGGGCAUAUGUAUAUGUGCUUGGAUCGACGAAAUUUAAUUGUCGGUGAAACUCAAGUGCAGUGAAGUUUAAGUUUCUUUAAACUUAAUUAGCAUUCCUUUUAUUUGUUUGUUUUAGUGAAAUUCGAUUGUUUGAAGUGAGGUUUCACUAUUUCUAUUAUUUGUUUUGUUGAAACUUAAGUAUGUCCUAAGUCAUAUUUUAGCAUUUUUGCUAUGUUUUUCAAUAUAAUUAAGUCCACCUAGUCUUAAAUUAAAUUUCCAAAAUAUAUGUUUUCGCACUUACGCCAAAACAAACAGUAGAAGGAAUCACUUAUACCAUAACUCUAUUAAUUUCUCACCCUUGAGUCACUCCAAUCCAAACAUAUACACCAUUAAUUAGAGUUGGAUACUUGGAUGGUUACAGAAAAUCAAAAAUAAUUGACAAUAGAGCUCAAGAUUUAUUUUAUGAAAAUUUAAUGGAUAAAAUCUCUAUCUUGUCAAAUAUAUUCUUAGAUCAGUUUUCUACUAUAUCAAUCUUAAUUUUAGAUAAUAUAGUAUCAUAACUAAUUCUAAAACCCCUUCAUUUCAUGAGGUUGUGAUCGAGCGAGUUUGAUCCUUAUCUUCGUAUAUAAAUAUUCACGAGACCAUUUCCUACCAUUUCCUCGUGCAUUUUGAGUGGAAACCCAAAUGUUCCUAACUCCAAAAGUAAUAGCACUACAACAAAAUAUGUUUUAGACAAUGCGUCUUCAAUAUUUAAUAUGUACUGACAUCAUGAUUAAGCGUCGCCAAUAAACAUAUUUUUAUCAAAUACUGAUAAAAAUUCUUCGAGGCUAUAUUAAAACGUCGGUAUAUUUAUUUUCGACAUGUUUACUUAACGACUCCUUACUUAGACAUUUUUAUGAGUGUCGGAGUUAUUCUUGUCGACGUUUUAAAUCGUCGCUAGUUAUUGUUUAAAAUGUCCUUAAAUACAAGAUUUGUUUAGUGUAGCAAUUAACUAACUCAAAAAUCAAAAAUAGGUCAAAAUCAAUUGAAAUAACAUAUCCCAAUUCCAAAAAAUGGACCAACAAAUACCAAAGUGUUUCAACAAGUGAUGGAGGGAGGUGUUGAGAUGAGGCACUAACUCAAAAGUGGGAUCCAAAAGUUGCCUUGGCAUUGGAGAGGAGUAGUCGGCAAUGGGUCCCUCCUAGCGCCGACUUUAGCACUAAGGUGGUCGGUGUUGGUGCACAUGCACAAACCAAUUUGUGUCCAGUACAAUGUGGACACAAGUGCCUAAUCAAAAACACAACAUAGUUGACCUAAUAUGAGCACUUGGUGGAGAAUUUUGAUGGUGGAAAUUUUAGGGCUAGUCAAAAGGUGGUAUAAUACUUCGGUUUACUUUCUUAAAUAAUGUGAAAAUAGGCCUAUGAAUUAAAAAAGAAAAAAAAAUUAAAUGAGACUUUGAUACCUUAUUAAAUAACAUGAAAAUUUGUUUAUCUCAGUAAGUUUUAUGUGAAAUCCUCACCUCAUUUAUUCGGGUUGUGGAUUAAAAUAAGUCUUCAAAUUGAAAAACAUAUAUAUCUCCUUUUUGUUACUCAAAGAUAUAUAUAUUUUUAUCUGCAACACCUUGCUUCAAACUCGCUCAACUUUCUUAACAUCUUAGGUAUAGCCACCGCCCAAAAUAUCAUAAACGGAUUAAGAGUUUUAGCCCUAUUAUAUCUUAUAUAAAAGAUUAUUUAUCUUUUAAAAAAAGUAUUAGAUGGACCUAGUCGGACUUGAUCUGCUCUGAUAUCAUGUAAAAUAAUUGAGAUUUUCAUGACGAGCUAUUUUAUAUAAUGUUGGGUGUGAAUUUUUUUCUAAAUUUUCUUGCCAUUUGGUGUAGAGCUUACUAUUCAAAUCAUUAUAUUUUUCUAUCAAUUUACUCCUUAAUAGUAGUAGUUGAACAAUGAAUAAUAUCAUUUUAGGUCACAUUAGUAGUAGUUGAACACUUUUUGGCCUUAAAUGUUCUCAUACUAAUCAAUUAAGAGAAAAAUCAAAUGCUUGACUAUGUAUUGCUAUAAAGGAUUAGGCACUAAGCGAAUCGCGUGCGAAUAAAAUAUAAUUUAUUUAGUGGAAAAUUGGUGAGAUCAUCUUAAAUUAGUGAUCAUAAAUGUAGAACAAUAGCAUUGACAUUUCCUUUAAAUAUAUAUAUAUAUAGAUAUAUGCACAAUGGAAUUGUAAGGCUAACUUAUAUAUGCUAUCACCUAAUUAUAAGGAAUCAAAGUGAGUUUGCUUCAUGUAUAGUUGUUAUUACUAGUUGAAGUAAUGUAGGAGAUUGAAAUACACAUUAUCACCUAAUAUUCCAUUUAUGGUGCCAAAGGAAUCUCUACUAAUUAAGAACAUUAGAGCUACCAAAUAGAUGAUUUAAUCAAAACACUUUCUAUUGAAAACUAACAUAAGUUAAAGGAGAAUUUUGUUUUUAUAUAGGCUCCGUUUGAAAUUGCAGAAAGAUCGCGUUACGUGAUCGAGGUGAAAAAAUACCAUGAGCAAAUAAUCUAUUUAUUUUCGCACGUGAUAUCCUGUUUUGCAUAUUGCGAGUCGAUUACAACAUAAUUUUUAUAAUUCCACUGAAAAACGUAAAAGCAUAUAUCGUCAUACACUUUUGCCCCAACUCUAUUUUAUCUACCAAACGGGCCCUUAGUAUACCAAAUUCCGGGGACUAUGUCUGCCGGCAUAUUUGAUAAGAACAUUCGAGCACAAUUUAAAUAUAAAUUUUGGUUGUUUAUUCUCACUCACAAAAUACUCUAAUAACAAUCAAAAAGACAGAAAUGGAUUCUCUAAUAUGCUGGGGUGCUUUUAAUAGCACCAAAUACUAGCUUGUUAGAUUAUACUCCUUUGAAUAUUUUUACUCGUUAGAUUAUACUAUUCAACCAACCAUCAACUCAACUCUAGAAGAUCAUUAUCGUCCUAAUCACACAUUUUUUUGGUUCACGGACUGAAAAAUCUAAUAAUACUAAUGACUUGGCGUUAUUAGAAGCAGUUCAAUCUAAUUUUCUCUAAUAUAGUAAAGAUAUUUGAUUGGAUAUUAUUAUUCUUAUACAAAAUAUUAAAAAAGAUUGAG
This 10369-nucleotide long non-coding RNA is filed under the name Ananas comosus (pineapple). RNAcentral describes it as "long non-coding RNA (ACOM_LNC017169)". The record is from RNAcentral. Lineage: Eukaryota; Viridiplantae; Streptophyta; Magnoliopsida; Poales; Bromeliaceae.